Molecule: ribosomal RNA, 218 nt
Filed under: uncultured bacterium
Lineage: Bacteria
Description: partial 16S ribosomal RNA
Rfam family: Bacterial small subunit ribosomal RNA
Source: RNAcentral
CGUAGAAGACUAGUGUUAAUCAUCUUUAUUAGGUUUAAGGGUACCUAGACGGUAAUUAAACUCUAAAUGAGUACUUGUUACUAGAGUUUAUGUAAGGAGGAAGAAUUUCUGGAGUAGUGAUUUAAUAUGAAUAAUCUCAGAGAGACUGGUAACGGCGAAGGCAUCCUUCUAUGUAAAACUGACGUUGAGGGACGAAGGCUUGGGUAGCGAGAAGGAUU